GACGAACGCUGGCGGCGUGCUUAACACAUGCAAGUCGAACGGAAACGCCCUGCUUUUGUGCGGUGCUCGAGUGGCGAACGCGUGCGUAACACGUGAGUAACCUGCCCUUGACUUUGGGAUAACUUCAGGAAACUGGGGCUAAUACCGUAUAGGAUCUCCUGCUGCGUGGUGGGGGUUGGAAAGUUUAGGCGGUUGGGGAUGGACUCGCGGCUUAUCAGCUUGUUAGUUGGGUAGUGGCUUACCAAGGCUUUGACGGGUAGCCGGCCUGGGAGGGUGACCGGCCACAUUGGGACUGAGAGACGGCCCAGACUCCUACGGGAGGCAGCAGGGGGGAAUAUUGCACAAUGGGCGGAAGCCGGAUGCAGCGACGCCGCGUGCGGGAUGACGGCCUGCGGGUUGUAAACCGCUUUCGCCUGUGACGAAGCGUGAGUGACGGUAAUGGGUAAAGAAGCACCGGCUAACUACGUG
This 468-nucleotide ribosomal RNA is filed under the name uncultured bacterium. RNAcentral describes it as "partial 16S ribosomal RNA". It matches the Rfam family "Bacterial small subunit ribosomal RNA", at positions 28 to 507 of the family's 1533-position model. The record is from RNAcentral.